UUUUAGCCCCGAUUGAAGUGGAAAUCCUUUUUAUUUUUCCUUUAAAAAUAAAAAGAUUGCAACAAAAAGCGGGAAAUAGC
Molecule: small RNA, 80 nt
Filed under: Flavobacterium xanthum
Lineage: Bacteria; Pseudomonadati; Bacteroidota; Flavobacteriia; Flavobacteriales; Flavobacteriaceae
Description: Flavo-1 RNA
Rfam family: Flavo-1 RNA
Source: RNAcentral